ACUCCUACGGGAGGCAGCAGUGGGGAAUAUUGCACAAUGGGCGCAAGCCUGAUGCAGCCAUGCCGCGUGUAUGAAGAAGGCCUUCGGGUUGUAAAGUACUUUCAGCAGUGAGGAAGGUGGGUAUGUUAAUAGCAUAUUCAUUUGACGUUAGCUGCAGAAGAAGCACCGGCUAACUCCGUGCCAGCAGCCGCGGUAAUACGGAGGGUGCGAGCGUUAAUCGGAAUUACUGGGCGUAAAGCGCAUGCAGGUGGUUUGUUAAGUCAGAUGUGAAAGCCCGGGGCUCAACCUCGGAAUUGCAUUUGAAACUGGCAAACUAGAGUACUGUAGAGGGGGGUAGAAUUUCAGGUGUAGCGGUGAAAUGCGUAGAGAUCUGAAGGAAUACCGGUGGCGAAGGCGGCCCCCUGGACAGAUACUGACACUCAGAUGCGAAAGCGUGGGGAGCAAACAGGAUUAGAUACCCUGGUAAGCUCUGC
This 473-nucleotide ribosomal RNA is filed under the name uncultured bacterium. RNAcentral's name for it is "bacterial SSU rRNA". It matches the Rfam family "Bacterial small subunit ribosomal RNA", at positions 335 to 800 of the family's 1533-position model. The record is from RNAcentral.